AUGGACGAGGAGGAGAUUGAGGGGGUGCCGGCCUUCUUCCACCGCCACCCUCUCCUCCUCUGCUUCCUCCUCUUCCUCGCCUUCACCUACGCCUUGGUCUACCCCGUCUUCGCCUUCAUCCUCGCCGCCGCCCCCGUCCUCGUCCUCACCGCCCUCCUCCUCGGCCUCGUCCUCCUCCACAGCGUGCCCCAGGACCACGACCCACAUGUCUACAACAAGAUCAGCCACCGCCCACCUCAAGUCCAACCAAGCACCACAGGCGCCAUCACCACACAUCACCACCGACCCUCCCACGAAUCCAGCGACUCCUCCUCCUCCGUCGACGAAAAUGACCACCACCCACCCACCGUGUCCAACGCCACCUCGCACGCCUCCUUCCCCGACACCGCCGCCAACAGCGAAUCAGAAUCAACCGACUCUGACCACGAAGAAAGGCAGCACAACCACCAGCGCUCCGAGAAAAAGGACGCGGUGCGGGCCGUCGCGUGGACGGCUGAUGACGCCAAGAGCAUCGAGAACAUCGGCUCGCUCGAGCUCGAGAUGAACGCCACCGUCGAGAAGCUCAUGUCCAGGCGCCGCGCCCGCGGCCACCAGCGACCUCUCCACCACCACCACCAGCAGCAGCACGUCAUGGAGCUUGACGACCCGUCCAAGCUCAGCAUCGCCACCAGGAAGAGGAACCCCUUCGACCUCGACGGGCCCUACGACGAAGACGACAACUUCCCCGACUCCGCACCCUCCAUGCUCGGCCUACGCCCCUCGCGCAACCCCUUCUUCGAUGAUAUGGACGACGAUCUCCAGCACCAAGCACCACCGGAGCCGUCGUCCAUCCCAGGGGCCCCGGCAGCGCAGAAGAAUGCCAUGCUGUUCCGACGGCAUGAGAGCUUCACCGUGGGUGCGCCGUACGUGAGCGACUUCCGGCCAUCCCGCUUCAGGCCCUACUUCGUCACCGAGAAGAUGCAGGGCCAGCCGGUGACGGUUCCCGAGGCCAGCCGCGAGAGCAGCUCCUCGUCCACGUCUUCCUCCUCUGCGGGUGCCACUGCUUAUGCCUAUGCCUAUGCCUAUGCCUACGCCUCCGCCAACAAAGAAGAAGAGGCAGCAGCAGAACAAGAAGAAGCUUUGGCAGCAGUAGAAGCAGAAGCAGCAACAAUGUUGGAGGAGGUGAAGCCUACCGUUGAGUACAGCAGCAGGUCUCAUGAGGUGGCGGCGGUGGACGUGGAGCUCAUCAGCGACUCUUCCGACGACGACAUGACACUGCCUGGUGGUGGCCAUGCCCAUAAAGGGCAGCAUGUACAGGCACAGCAGCAGCAGCAGGAGGAGGAGGAGGUGGCUGAGCAGGAGCAGCAAAUGACGAUGGAGCAGGAGCAGGAGCAGCGAAUGAAGCAGGAGCAGCGAAUGAAGCAGCAGUUGGCUGAGCAGGAGCAGCGGAUGAAGCAGGCGGCUGAGCAAGAGCAGCAAAUGAAGAUGGAGCAGGAGCAGCAAAUGAAGCUGCAGCAGGAGCAGCAGAUGAAGCUGCAGCAGGAGCAGCAGAUGAAGGAGCAGCGAAUGAAGCAGCAGUUGGCUGAGCAGGAGCAGCAAAUGAAGCAGGCGGCUGAGCAAGAGCGGCAAAUGAAAAUGCAGCAGCAGCAGCAGUUGGCGUUAUCAGACGAUGACGAGGGGGAUUCGUUUGAGGUGGAGAGCAUCACGAAACAAGUAGCAGCGGCGGCGGCGGGCAAAACCAAGCAGCUUGAGACAGAUCCUGCAUACGACUACAGCCCGUCAAAGACGGAGAAGGCAGCAUUUGCCCAGUUACCUCCUCCGGCGCCGCCAAAUAAGCUGCAGACGAUGCGGAGAGUGUUCUCAGAAGAAGACGCGGACGAGCCAUGGGCAGCGCCGAGCGGACUGGAGGAGACAGCUGAGGAUGAGGGCAGGGAGCAAGACCCUCCUCUUUCUGCUCCUGCUGCUGGUGCUGCCCCUCCUCUUUCUGCGGCCGCCAAGAAAGCUAUCGGCAAGUCCACCAAGUACAAGCCGCCAUCCAAGAAGGCAGUCUUAGGCUUCUUCCGCAAGUGA
Molecule: ribosomal RNA, 2049 nt
Filed under: Triticum aestivum (bread wheat)
Lineage: Eukaryota; Viridiplantae; Streptophyta; Magnoliopsida; Poales; Poaceae
Description: partial small subunit ribosomal RNA
Source: RNAcentral